Molecule: ribosomal RNA, 429 nt
Filed under: Chloroflexota bacterium
Lineage: Bacteria; Bacillati; Chloroflexota
Description: Chloroflexi bacterium partial 16S ribosomal RNA
Rfam family: Bacterial small subunit ribosomal RNA
Source: RNAcentral
UGGGGAAUAUUGCACAAUGGGCGCAAGCCUGAUGCAGCCAUGCCGCGUGUGUGAAGAAGGCCUUCGGGUUGUAAAGCACUUUCAGCGGGGAGGAAGGCGUUAAGGUUAAUAACCUUGGCGAUUGACGUUACCCGCAGAAGAAGCACCGGCUAACUCCGUGCCAGCAGCCGCGGUAAUACGGAGGGUGCAAGCGUUAAUCGGAAUUACUGGGCGUAAAGCGCACGCAGGCGGUCUGUCAAGUCGGAUGUGAAAUCCCCGGGCUCAACCUGGGAACUGCAUUCGAAACUGGCAGGCUGGAGUCUUGUAGAGGGGGGUAGAAUUCCAGGUGUAGCGGUGAAAUGCGUAGAGAUCUGGAGGAAUACCGGUGGCGAAGGCGGCCCCCUGGACAAGGACUGACGCUCAGGUGCGAAAGCGUGGGGAGCAAACAGG